AUGGCUAAAUGGUUCUUUAGGAAGAAGAGUCAGGCGCCUCUGGAAGGGAUGGUUUGGCCUACAGAGAGAAAACAGGACUGAUCCGGGUCAGACUGGCCCAGAGGGCAAAAAAGCAUUUGCUUCGAAAGCCCCAUCAAGAGGAAAAUCUUUCUACUGCCAGAGGGGCUCUUCUGGGAAGCCUGAGUGGAGAGAGAGAAUGGGCAAGGGGUCAUCGAUGGACCGGAGAUGGGAUGGUAGGGACAGAAACUGCAGGGUCCGCAGAAGGAACUGCUCACCGAAAGCCAACAAGCUUGCCCUGUGGAAUCCCAGAAAGGCCCAGGAACUUCGGGACAUCACUGAAGGCAGAGUGAAGAGAGGAAGAGAAGACAGAGAAAUGGAGGGGAGAAAACUAUUAAAAUAAGUAAUAAGAAAACUUUCCCCAGAAGUGCAGAAUCUGAAUUUCCAGUAUAAAAGGGUCCAUUGAGCGCCAAGAACAAUGAAG
Long non-coding RNA from Homo sapiens (human), 481 nucleotides. Ensembl annotates it as long intergenic non-protein coding RNA 2710. Lineage: Eukaryota; Metazoa; Chordata; Mammalia; Primates; Hominidae. The record is from Ensembl.